GUACCCAAUUCAGUAGCACAUAUACUAAAAUUGAAACAAUAGAGAGAAUGUUAGCAUGGCCCUUAAACAAAGCUUAUAGGCAAAUUCAUGAAGCAUUCCAUGGUUUU
Molecule: small nuclear RNA, 107 nt
Filed under: Castor canadensis (American beaver)
Lineage: Eukaryota; Metazoa; Chordata; Mammalia; Rodentia; Castoridae
Source: RNAcentral